This 253-nucleotide ribosomal RNA is filed under the name uncultured bacterium. RNAcentral describes it as "partial 16S ribosomal RNA". It matches the Rfam family "Bacterial small subunit ribosomal RNA", at positions 524 to 776 of the family's 1533-position model. The record is from RNAcentral.
UACGAAGGGGCUAGCGUUGUUCGGAAUUACUGGGCGUAAAGCGCGCGCAGGCGGUCUUCCAAGUCAGUGGUGAAAGCCCGGAGCUCAACUCCGGAACUGCCAUUGAAACUGUUGGACUUGAGUACGAGAGAGGUGAGUGGAAUUCCCAGUGUAGAGGUGAAAUUCGUAGAUAUUGGGAAGAACACCGGUGGCGAAGGCGGCUCACUGGCUCGUAACUGACGCUCAGGCGCGACAGCGUGGGGAUCGAAACAGG